This 578-nucleotide ribosomal RNA is filed under the name uncultured Chromatiales bacterium. Its description in RNAcentral is "bacterial SSU rRNA". It matches the Rfam family "Bacterial small subunit ribosomal RNA", at positions 350 to 916 of the family's 1533-position model. The record is from RNAcentral. Lineage: Bacteria; Pseudomonadati; Pseudomonadota; Gammaproteobacteria; Chromatiales.
AGCAGUGGGGAAUAUUGGACAAUGGGCGCAAGCCUGAUCCAGCAAUGCCGCGUGUGUGAAGAAGGCCUGCGGGUUGUAAAGCGCUUUUAUCAGGGAAGAAACGGCCUGGGUUAAUACCCCAUGGCAAUUGACGGUACCUGAAGAAUAAGCACCGGCUAACUCCGUGCCAGCAGCCGCGGUAAUACGGAGGGUGCAAGCGUUAAUCGGAAUUACUGGGCGUAAAGCGUGCGCAGGCGGCUGAUUAAGUCGGAUGUGAAAGCCCCGGGCUCAACCUGGGAAUUGCAUUCGAUACUGGUCAGCUAGAGUCUGGUAGAGGUAAGCGGAAUUCCGGGUGUAGCGGUGAAAUGCGUAGAUAUCCGGAGGAACAUCAGUGGCGAAGGCGGCUUACUGGACCAAGACUGACGCUCAUGUACGAAAGCGUGGGUAGCAAACAGGAUUGGAUACCCUGGUAGUCCACGCCCUAAACUAUGUCAACUAGCCGUUGGGUCCCCUUAAUAGGACUUAGUGGCGAAGCUAACGCGUUAAGUUGACCGCCUGGGGAGUACGGCCGCAAGGUUGAAACUUAAAGGAAUUGACGG